This 425-nucleotide ribosomal RNA is filed under the name uncultured bacterium. Its description in RNAcentral is "bacterial SSU rRNA". It matches the Rfam family "Bacterial small subunit ribosomal RNA", at positions 356 to 773 of the family's 1533-position model. The record is from RNAcentral.
GGGGAAUAUUGGACAAUGGGCGAAAGCCUGAUCCAGCCAUGCCGCGUGUGUGAAGAAGGCCUUUUGGUUGUAAAGCACUUUAAGUGGGGAGGAAAAGUUAAUGGUUAAUACCCAUUAACCCUGACGUUACCCACAGAAUAAGCACCGGCUAACUCUGUGCCAGCAGCCGCGGUAAUACAGAGGGUGCAAGCGUUAAUCGGAAUUACUGGGCGUAAAGCGCGCGUAGGUGGUUACUUAAGUCAGAUGUGAAAGCCCCGGGCUUAACCUGGGAACUGCAUCUGAUACUGGGUGACUAGAGUAGGUGAGAGGGAAGUAGAAUUCCAGGUGUAGCGGUGAAAUGCGUAGAGAUCUGGAGGAAUACCGAUGGCGAAGGCAGCUUCCUGGCAUCAUACUGACACUGAGGUGCGAAAGCGUGGGUAGCAAAC